AUCAACGCUGGCGGCGUGCCUAAUACAUGCAAGUCGAGCGAACAGACGAGGAGCUUGCUCCUCUGACGUUAGCGGCGGACGGGUGAGUAACACGUGGAUAACCUACCUAUAAGACUGGGAUAACUUCGGGAAACCGGAGCUAAUACCGGAUAAUAUAUUGAACCGCAUGGUUCAAUAGUGAAAGACGGUUUUGCUGUCACUUAUAGAUGGAUCCGCGCCGCAUUAGCUAGUUGGUAAGGUAACGGCUUACCAAGGCGACGAUGCGUAGCCGACCUGAGAGGGUGAUCGGCCACACUGGAACUGAGACACGGUCCAGACUCCUACGGGAGGCAGCAGUAGGGAAUCUUCCGCAAUGGGCGAAAGCCUGACGGAGCAACGCCGCGUGAGUGAUGAAGGUCUUCGGAUCGUAAAACUCUGUUAUUAGGGAAGAACAAAUGUGUAAGUAACUAUGCACGUCUUGACGGUACCUAAUCAGAAAGCCACGGCUAACUACGUG
RNAcentral lists this ribosomal RNA (496 nucleotides) under uncultured bacterium. RNAcentral describes it as "partial 16S ribosomal RNA". It matches the Rfam family "Bacterial small subunit ribosomal RNA", at positions 32 to 507 of the family's 1533-position model. The record is from RNAcentral.